This is a long non-coding RNA of Gordionus sp. m RMFG-2023, 242 nucleotides long. RefSeq lists it as uncharacterized. NCBI's taxonomy places the organism in Eukaryota, Metazoa, Nematomorpha, Gordioida, Chordodea, Parachordodidae. The transcript is spliced from 3 exons. The record is from RefSeq and is a predicted model, not a curated record.
GCAAUCUGGUUUAAUUUUUUUGUCCUUUUUUAUUUUUGCGGGAAAAUUUAAAUGGAUACAAAAAUCCCAGUGGGUCAAAAGUAAAUAGACUUGUGGAGGAAAGACUCUUGGCUCUUUAGGAAAAGGUGCCAUCCGAGAGCCAAUUGUAUCUACUAUCAAUGGAAGCAGGCUUAGAAAGCAUGGACCAUAAUAAUAGAUACCUCUUCAAAAGUGAGACAUCAAGAUUGUAUCAUAAUUUGAUG